Molecule: ribosomal RNA, 460 nt
Filed under: uncultured bacterium
Lineage: Bacteria
Description: partial 16S ribosomal RNA
Rfam family: Bacterial small subunit ribosomal RNA
Source: RNAcentral
CCUACGGGAGGCAGCAGUGAGGAAUAUUGGUCAAUGGACGAAAGUCUGAACCAGCCAAGUAGCGUGAAGGAUGACUGCCCUAUGGGUUGUAAACUUCUUUUAUAUGGGAAUAAAAUGUUCCACGUGUGGGAUUUUGUAUGUACCAUAUGAAUAAGGAUCGGCUAACUCCGUGCCAGCAGCCGCGGUAAUACGGAGGAUCCGAGCGUUAUCCGGAUUUAUUGGGUUUAAAGGGAGCGUAGGUGGAUUGUUAAGUCAGUUGUGAAAGUUUGCGGCUCAACCGUAAAAUUGCAGUUGAAACUGGCAGUCGUGAGUACAGUAGAGGUGGGCGGAAUUCGUGGUGUAGCGGUGAAAUGCUGAGAUAUCACGAAGAACUCCGAUUGCGAAGGCAGCUCACUGGACUGCAACUGACACUGAGGCUCGAAAGUGUGGGUAUCAAACAGGAUUAGAUACCCGUGUAGUC